AAGGAAAAGGGCUCCUAGAUGGAAACACAGGCUUGCUACUGAUUAAUAUGCCUGGCUGAGGCCAUGGGCCCCGCGGGGGGUGUGCAGCCUGCUGAGGUCCUAAAUCACGAGGCUUCCGAUCACUCCUUUGUCUGGGAAGCCCUGGAUGGGGUGGGGCCUCCCUUAAGUCGCCUCAGCCAGCCCACUCCCCUCCGUACCCCUUCCUGGGGGCAAGCCCCACGUCUGUCAGCCUCCCUGGCAUCAGGUUGGGGCCUAGAGACCCCUGGAGGCAGUCGGUGGGGGUCUGUGGCAGCCCUGCUGGGGCUUGGAGCUCUUCAAACAGUUGAGGAAGCUGCUGUGUGUGGGCCCUGCCAGGCCUGCAGGGACCGAAGCCCAACCCCCUUUCCCAUGGGUGACUUGGGACCAGAACCCUGGGUACCUCCUGGGGGUGAGGGACUCCUGUGUCCUUAGCCCAGCACCCUGUCUGCCCCACUCACGCCCACUCUGCCUGGGCCCCCCAGCUCCUGGACACACACUGUCCAUGCCUGCCCUCUUUUGUGGGUGUCACUGACCCCCGCAUGGAGGAGCAGCAGGGCUGGGGUCAGGCUGAGUUUCAGGGCUGCCGCCAGGUGGGGAAAGCGUGCGUGGUCAGAGGUGGGGCUUGCAGCCUGUGGUCUUGCUGGAGGGGGCAUCAGCCACGCUGGCUGCCCUGAGGGCUGUGACGUGUAGGCAGAGGGGGCCUCUGCAGCCCAGCUGUGGCCCCUGCUGGGGCAUCUUCCCACCAUGAAGACACAGGCACCCAGCGAGGCAUCUGCCAGACACUCAGAGGCCCCUGGAUGGAGGUGUCCUGAAGGCAGCUGACAGGGGCUGGGGUCUCGAGAACAGGGACUUGUGCCCACUUGGGGGUGUCUGGGUUGUCCCAGGGAUGGGGGUGGGGGAGGGGAGCCCAGGCCAGCUCAGGGCCCCACACUCAGGGGCUGAGCAGGACGCAACAGCCACAGUCCCUGGACCUGGGGCCAAGGGUUCUGAGGUGGGGGCGGUGUUCUGGGCUCUCUGGGAGUGGGGGCCUGGCAAAGGUUUCCUGGCAGUACCAGGUUUCCAUGAGGUGCAUGGCCCUGGUCCCUGGCAUGCUAUGGGGCAGAGGCUGUGGGGCCUUUUGGGUCCCCGUCUGAGCCUGCCCCCUGCACAGUUCUUCCUGCUGCUGCUGCUGGUGUUCCUGCUGGAGGCCACCAUCGCCAUCCUCUUCUUCGCCUACACGGACAAGAUUGACAGGUAUGCCCAGCGAGACCUGAAGAAAGGCUUGCACCUGUACGGCACGCAGGGCAACGUGGGCCUCACCAAUGCCUGGAGCAUCAUCCAGACCGACGUGAGGCGUGGGCAGGUGGGCGGGGUCAGCGGGUGCCCCCUCCCCUCCCGCCUCAGCCCGACCAGAGCUUGCCCUCCAGUUCCGCUGCUGUGGCGUCUCCAACUACACUGACUGGUUUGAAGUGUACAACGCCACACGGGUGCCUGACUCCUGCUGCCUGGAGUUCAGUGAGAGCUGUGGGCUGCACGCCCCCGGCACCUGGUGGAAGGCGCCGUGCUACGAGACAGUGAAGGUGUGGCUUCAGGAGAACCUGCUGGCUGUGGGCAUCUUCGGGCUGUGCACGGCGCUGGUGCAGAUCCUGGGCCUGACCUUCGCCAUGACCAUGUACUGCCAGGUGGUCAAGGCGGACACCUACUGCGCGUAGGCCGCCCGCCGCCCGCUUCUCUGCCAAAAGGACACCCACGGGGAGAUGGCCGCGCCCACAGCUGCCUUUCCCACCACCAGCCUCGGUGCUCUGCCCCAUGCUGGGAGGAGGGAGGGAGGAAGGAACAGGUGCCUGGAGCCCCCGGAACCCUGUUCCUGGAAGGCCCUGGCUCAGGUGGCUUCAGGGCAUCCGGACCCCCUCCCCCCACCCCGGGAGGGGUGGCCACACGCUGGCUGCGGGACCCGGGGCAGGGGUGGGAGGGGCCUCCAGCACUUUUUAUAUUUACGUAUUCUCCAGAGCAGUGUUCACACGGGAGCCAGCCUGUGGCCCCCAGCCUCCCGGGAAACGGGCUGGGGCUGGAGGAGCCGGGUCUCGGCAUCCUGGAGGUGGCCCCGCUGGUCCUGGUGCUCCAGGCAGGGCCGUGGACCCCUCACCUACAUUCCAUAGUGGGCCCGUGGGGCUCCUGGUGCAUUUUAAUAAAGUGUGAGCAGCAG
RNAcentral lists this small RNA (2203 nucleotides) under Pongo abelii (Sumatran orangutan). Its description in RNAcentral is "retained intron". Lineage: Eukaryota; Metazoa; Chordata; Mammalia; Primates; Hominidae. The record is from RNAcentral.